This 433-nucleotide ribosomal RNA is filed under the name uncultured bacterium. RNAcentral describes it as "partial 16S ribosomal RNA". It matches the Rfam family "Bacterial small subunit ribosomal RNA", at positions 29 to 507 of the family's 1533-position model. The record is from RNAcentral.
AACGAACGCUGGCGGCAGGCCUAACACAUGCAAGUCGAGCGAGGACGUCGGUCCUAGCGGCGGACGGGUGAGUAACGCGUGGGAACGUGCCCUUUGCUUCGGUAUAGCUCUGGGAGAGUGGGCUUAAUAACGGUUGAGCCCUUUGGGGGUAAGAUUUCUCGGCGAAGGAUCGGCCCGUGUUGGUUUAGGUGGUUGGUGGGGUAAUGGCCGACCAUGCCGACGAUGCAUAGCUGGUGUGGGAGGAUGAUUAUCCACACUGGGACUGCGACACGGCCCAGUCUCCUACGGGAGGGAGCAGUGGGGAGUCUUAGACAAUGGGGGAAGACCUAAUCUCGCCAUGCCGCGUAAGCGAUGAAGGCCUUAGGGUUGUAAAUCUCUUUCAGCUGGGAAGAUAAUGACGGUACCAGCAGAAGAAGCCCCGGCUAACUCCGUG